CAACUAAACCAACUCUACCCCAUUUCUGCUUCGUGUGCCUCUCCCAAAGGUACUCACACAUCUCUCCCUCAAGGAAUGGCAAACACUGGCCAUUUGACAAAGUGAAGAUUGAGGGAGCCUCUCAAGUAUGCAUUCCAACACUAACAUCUCUCGAGUGUCCUCAACAUUUUCAAACUUUGAAGUAAGAGUCUUCUUUGCAAGAGACAUUUUUGUAGGGAUUUGAUAAAGAAAACUAAGCCAAAGGCAGUUCCUAAAGGAUUUCACACACAAAAGCUCUUUGUAAAACAAAAGAGAGAUCAACCUCAUCCCACUAGUCCAUGAUUGAUGGGAGUGGUUUGAGAAAGAGUAGAGGCUUUGAAAAAAGAAAGAAAGGGACACAUGUUAUGAAGUAAAGUAGCAUUACAAGGCAAGAUAUGUUAUAGAGUCUUAAAACCAAUUGUGGAACUCACUGUUGAGGAAAGAAACAAGGAACCUUCAAAGUUCAAACACCUUUUAAAGAAACAAAGUUGUAAGGGGUGCUGGAUAAAGAAACAAAGUUCGGGAUCCUGCUGAUGGAGCUUAAACAUCACCUCCCUUGUGCCACUUCUGCUUCAGAGUGUUGCCCCAUCUCCUUGGUGUUACUAGUAUCCAAGUCAUAGAAGAGCCUAGACUGAAGAAGAAGAAGAAGAAGAAGCCUUUGCUUCUCCAUUGAUAACUCCUUUGUGCUCCGAUGAAAGUGAAUGAUGCCUCUCUGGUAGCCUCAGAAGCAUUAUUUCGGUUGAGUUUUUGAGAAAGUAGUUGGAGCUAUUCAAGUCUGUGAUGGUCUCCCACGUGAUUUUGCUUUCCAAUUUAUUGGGACCACACCCUCUAUUUCAUAGGUGUUUUCUAGAGGUGUGUCGGUAAGCUAGUAUUUUGUUUUGUUAGCCUUCGGCUUUUGUUCUCAGCUUGGCCUUUGGGCCUUUUCUCUCAAUACAAUCAAUCUUUGACCAAAAAACAAAACAAAACUUGCAACAGUUUAAUACCCUAUUUCUCACUAUUAGCUUCAAAUGAACUCAACAGUGGAGUCAAUUAGGUUUUAUGACACCUGUCAAUGGAAUUGACAAAGAAAAAAAAUGAAGGUUAUGAAACUUGUCAUGUGGCAUCCAGAUUCUCAUUUAUUCCUUUGUGGCAGGAAAACAUAAGGUAAGUAUCUUGGCCAGCUUGAGCAGAAACACAUACAAUUAUCAGAAUGUCCUACUCUUGCUGCCUCACUAGCAUUAGUAGAGGUUGGGUUAACUAUCGUCAUAUGAUCAACAAAAGAAGGAAGAAUGGGAUUUCAGCAAAAGCUCUUUCAGGCAAGUUUAGUUCUAACCAUGUUUCUCAUUGUUAGUGCAUCACAACAGCACAAGAAAGCUAAAGGCCUUCACUAACAAAAUAAAGACCACCACACUAAGAUAAAUCCUAGGCUUCACUUUGAAAUCACAUUACACGGGUUUCUUCUGUGGGCUUCACUGGCGUUCUUGAUGCGUGUUGGUGUACUAGUAAUUAGAUUGUCCAGCGGCGAUGGGAAUCGAAGAAGGCUUAGAAUUAUAUUCUAUGCUCAUGCAGUUUUGCAGGAAAGUACAUCUGAACCCCUGUUGCAUCAUAGUUUUAGUGAGAUAACUGAUACUUUUUGCAAAUUUAAUUAGUUUGUAUUCCUUUACUUGACAACAAAUCUAAGUGCGUUUUUGGAUCCACGUUCUCAGAAUUGAUUUUAGAUAAAAUUCAUUUUGGAAAAGUUGAUUAUAGGGAAAGUGAGUCAAAAGUCAAUUGAUUUAUGUUUGGAUACGUUUAUGGUAAACGUGAUUUCUAUAAGGUAGUGUUGCGCAAUGCAAUUAUGAAACCCACAAUUGAUUACGUCUACUGCAAAAGCUAGUAUCUGUAGCUUCUCCACAUAAUUGAUUUUGGGACUAAAAUCAACUCUCUAAGUCAAUUGUAAAACUUCUAUAUGACCACCUAACACUGAUUCUGGUUAAUGAGCAUUCAUUCUAAGUCUCCAAAGUCCCAAACACACAGAGAGUAAAAGAACAACUAUUUUUAUUUUUUAUGGUUCAAAAUGAGUUUAAUAGGGUCAGUUGUCCCACUUAUCCACUUUUUGAUGAAGGUUAACUUGAGAAAGUAGCAUGAUUACAGUUUUCCUGUUAUUUUAUUUGUCCAAAUGCUUGUUAGUUACUGUUUAAGGUUAGGAAAAGACCAUUGCUUCUUUGUUUAUUGAUUAGAAGUUUAGGACUAAGAUGAAUACUUUGAAGACAAGAAAGGAGCUUUAAGAAAUAACCUUUGUUAUUAGGAGUUCCUAGCUUUCUGUAUCUCAUUUUUUAAUAGAGCAUGUGAAAAGUACAGCACCAUUAUGCUGCUAGCUGUAGCCUUAAACAAAUCUUUAGCUCAAAUUAAGUGGAGGGAAAAAUCAACAUCAACUUCAUCACUAGCAAAUAUUACAAGUUUUUAUGAAAGUAUUGCAUUGGUGAUCCAUGUUUUUUUAAUUGACAUGUACUUAUGUGUUUCUGUUCAACAGAAGCUUGCUGUACUUCUUGCCACAGCUGGAGCAAUCAUGUCCAUAAAAAAUUUCAACCUCUCUUUCAACAAUAAUCAUCAAAGAUUAGGGGUUGCAUUAUAUGGCUUCAAGUUCUAGUUGGUAUUUUUCGACCACAAAGGGGAUCCAAAAGGAGAAGACUGUGGUUUUUUGCACACUGGAUAACUGGAACUGCAGUGUCAAUAAUGAGUGUCCUGAACGUGUAUAGUGGUUUACAAGCCUACCAUGAAAAAACAUCAAAGAGCAUAAGAACUUGGAAAAUACUUUUCACUUUUCAAAUACCUUCUUCAAGAAAAAUGGGUCUACAAACAAAAUCAAGGAGUGACUUUGGGAAAUAAAUUACUUCCUUCCACUUGUGAAGAAAUUUCUUCAGAUGACAAGGAGAAGGCACUGAAGAAUGAAAGCUGAAUCUUAUUAAUGAAGAAGAAUCAAUGCCAGCCCAUUAUUGACCCUCACUUCUACAGAGAAUAGGUGUUUGAUACACACAUGAGUACUGAUGGAUGUGAAUUUGUUCCUUAAGAUGAAAUAUGUGUCUGUGAAGUUUAUUUUUCGCAUUUUUUCAGAGAAGGUUUCACUCAUUGAAAGAUUGUAAUUUCUUUCCAUGAGAUAGUUUGUUGUGUUCUCCUAGCAGCAGCGAGUUCUGAACAUUGAAUAUGUUAAAGGCCCAAACAACAAUACAAAAUUCAAUUGAUUUUAAUAUUGACACUGCCACACUGGAAU
Long non-coding RNA from Lotus japonicus, 3247 nucleotides. RefSeq lists it as uncharacterized. NCBI's taxonomy places the organism in Eukaryota, Viridiplantae, Streptophyta, Magnoliopsida, Fabales, Fabaceae. The transcript has 3 exons. The record is from RefSeq and is a predicted model, not a curated record.